AACGAACGCUGGCGGCAGGCUUAACACAUGCAAGUCGAACGCCCCGCAAGGGGAGUGGCAGACGGGUGAGUAACGCGUGGGAAUCUACCCAUCCCUACGGAACAACUCCGGGAAACUGGAGCUAAUACCGUAUACGCCCUACGGGGGAAAGAUGUAUCGGGGAUGGAUGAGCCCGCGUUGGAUUAGCUAGUUGGUGGGGUAAAGGCCUACCAAGGCGACGAUCCAUAGCUGGUCUGAGAGGAUGAUCAGCCACAUUGGGACUGAGACACGGCCCAAACUCCUACGGGAGGCAGCAGUGGGGAAUAUUGGACAAUGGGCGCAAGCCUGAUCCAGCCAUGCCGCGUGAGUGAUGAAGGUCUUAGGAUUGUAAUGCUCUUUCACCGAUGAAGAUAAUGACGGUAGUCGGAGAAGAAGCCCCGGCUAACUUCGUGCCAGCCGCCGCCGUAA
Molecule: ribosomal RNA, 447 nt
Filed under: uncultured bacterium
Lineage: Bacteria
Description: partial 16S ribosomal RNA
Rfam family: Bacterial small subunit ribosomal RNA
Source: RNAcentral